CCUACGGGUGGCAGCAGUAGGGAAUCUUCCACAAUGGGCGAAAGCCUGAUGGAGCAACGCCGCGUGGGUGAAGAAGGUCUUCGGAUCGUAAAACUCUGUUGUUAGAGAAGAAAGUGCGUGAGAGUAACUGUUCACGUUUCGACGGUAUCUAACCAGAAAGCCACGGCUAACUACGUGCCAGCAGCCGCGGUAAUACGUAGGUGGCAAGCGUUAUCCGGAUUUAUUGGGCGUAAAGGGAACGCAGGCGGUCUUUUAAGUCUGAUGUGAAAGCCCUCGGCUUAACCGGCGUAGUGCAUUGGAAACUGGGAGACUUGAGUGCAGAAGAGGAGAGUGGAACUCCAUGUGUAGCGGUGAAAUGCGUAGAUAUAUGGAAGAACACCAGUGGCGAAGGCGGCUCUCUGGUCUGUAACUGACGCUGAGGUUCGAAAGCGUGGGGAGCAAACAGGAUUAGAUACCCGGGUAGUC
RNAcentral lists this ribosomal RNA (465 nucleotides) under uncultured bacterium. RNAcentral's name for it is "partial 16S ribosomal RNA". It matches the Rfam family "Bacterial small subunit ribosomal RNA", at positions 338 to 795 of the family's 1533-position model. The record is from RNAcentral.